Callithrix jacchus (white-tufted-ear marmoset) is the source of this 15552-nucleotide non-coding RNA. The record is from RefSeq and is a predicted model, not a curated record. NCBI's taxonomy places the organism in Eukaryota, Metazoa, Chordata, Mammalia, Primates, Cebidae.
CCUAGGAUAUUAACACUAACAUCACAGUGUACACACAUGGUGUACAGCCACUGUCAUAUUAGGAGUGUCACCUCUUCCUAGGAUAUUAUCACUAACAUCACAGUGUACACACAUGGUGUACAGCCACUUUGAUGUUUCAAGUAAUAUCUCUCCCUCAGAUAUUACGAAUACUAUCAGAGGGUAUACCCAAAUACCAUACACAUACUUUAAUAUUACGAAUAAUAUCACAGAGUGUUCAAACACAGUCUUCACUGGCUAUGGUGUUAGGAGUAAUAUCUCUUUAAAAUAUACACCCAUAUCAACCGGACUAAAAUAUUAGGAGUAAUAUCUUUUUAAAAUGUAGACCCAUAUUAACCACCCGCUAUACAGCGAGUAUUAUCACCCCAGCUGCCCCUGGAUAUUAGGGUGCCCACACCUGUGAUUCAUAGUAUCUCUCCCACAGAUAUUACGAAUAAUAUCAUAGGGUGUACCCAAAUACUGUACACACACUUUAGUAUUAUGAGUAAUGUCAUAUGCUGAAUAUCACAAACAAUAUCAUAAAGUGUUCAAACAUACUCUAUACUGUCUAUGAUUUUAGGCGUAAUAUCUCUUUAAAAUAUACACCUAUAUCAACCUGACUAUGCUAUUAGGAGUCAUAUCUCUUUAAAAUAUAUGCCCAUAUAAACCCCCCAACGAUAAUAUCAGGAGUAAUAUCUCUUUAAAAUAUACACCCAUAUCAGCCCGAUGGUGAUAUAAGCAGUAAUAUCUCACUAAAAUGUACACACACAUCAACCCCCUGCCCUAGGGCGAGUAAUAUCCCCCGCCCCUGGAUAUUAAGGACCCUAUGGCUGGGGGCUGCCACAGCCACUGCCCUAGGGAGAGGGAUAUCCCUCCGCCCCCCCCCCCCCAGAUAUUCUGGACAGUCUGGCAAGGGGGCUGUACCACCCAGGCCCCCCCAGCUGCUACGAACCCUCUGGCUAGGCAGUGCCCACAGCGGCUAUUUAGACAAUUUGGAGUAAUAUACUGGAAACCAUAUCAUAGGGAGAAGAUAAUGUUACUGUGUUUCUUUUUUGAUAUUAGGCACAGUAACACCAGUUCUAGUUCCACCUCUGCGAUAUUGACAAAAAUAUCAUCCUCGCUCCCCUUAACAUUAGAAUUGAAAUCACGGGGGUUUCACCGCUUGUAAUAUUUAAUUCAAUAUAAUUGUUUCUUUCGUGGACCUUAGUUACUAUAUCAGAGUGUGGUGUACACCUCUUUUGCCAUAUUGAGAGUAUUACCAUAUGAGCAGUAAUAUCAUCCUCUCCUUCCCUGGAUAUUAGGAACAAUAUCACAGGGCGGGUGUACAGCCCCUGCCACAUUGUGAAUAGUAUCAUCUCUCAUCCCCUAGAUAUGAGGAACAACAUCACUGGGGGUUUGUGUGCUUCCUGAGAUAUUUGGAGUAAUAUCCUCUCCGUUUUUGGAUAUUAGAAACAAUACUAUAGUGGUGGUGUGCACUUCCUGCGAUAUUGAGAGUAUAAUCAUUCUCUCUUCCCUGGAUAUUAGGAAAUAUAUCACAAAGGCGUUGUACACUGCCUGUGAUAUUGGAACAAUCACAGAGUGUACACUUGCUUUCACAAUGAGAGUAAUAUCUACCUAGGAUAUGAUGGAUAAUAUCAGAAAAUGUACACACAUGGGUGUAUACCCACUUUGAUAUUAGGAGUAAUUUGUAUCUAAUAUAAUAAAAAUAUACCAGAAUGUAGUCAUAAUGUGUACAUUUAUUGGGAUAUUACAAUAAAUGUAUAUGAUAUCUACAAUAUGUAUAUUGUGAUGUACAUAUAUGUACACAAUACAUAUGUACAAUAAAUGUAUAUGUGUACAAUAUAUACAUUUAUAUGAACAUGUGUACACAAUAUGUACAUAAUGAAUACAACCUGCACAUUUACUGUAAUAUCACCAUGAUAUAUAUAAUCACAAUAUAUAAUACAUAUCACAAUAAAUGUACAUAUUGUAUACAUUAUGUACAUAUGUAUUGUGUACACAUUAUGUACAUAUACAUUUAAUGUGAUAUUACAAUAUGUACAUAUAAUACACUAUGUACAUAAUGUACACAUGUACGUAGAUACUAUAUGUACGUGUACAUAUAUAUGUGCACAUUGUGUACAUAUGUACUAUAUGUACAUGUAUAUAUGUGCAUAUUAUGUACAUAUGUAUAGUAUGUACGCAUGUACGUAUAUAUGGGCACAUUAUGUACAUAUAUGUAUCUUGCCUAUUGAAUAUAAAUAUUCUAAUUACUCCAUGAAAAGAUUUUUUAAACCAUCAAGGCAGCCUGUAAACUCUUUAUAGUUGUGAUCAGGUAAAAUAAUGCAGGUAUACCACUAACAAUACCUGGCACUAGAACACAAACACUAAAUAUAUAAUGUUACUUACUGCUGUUAUUGUUAUAUGGUAACCAUUUUGAAUUGUUAUCUUGUAAUGUUCAAGUUCUUUUUUUUUUUUUUUCUUAAGGCGGAGUUUCACUCUUGUUACCCAGGCUGGAGUGCAAUGGCGCAAUCUCGGCUCACUGCAACCUCCGCCUCCUGGGUUCAGGCAAUUCUCCUGCCUCAGCCUCCUGAGUAGCUGGGAUUACGGGCACGCACCACCGUGCCCAGCUAAUUUUUUGUAUUUUUAGUAGAGACGGGGUUUCACCUUGUUGACCAGGAUGGUCUCGAUCUCUUGACCUCGUGAUCCACCCGCCUCGGCCUCCCAAAGUGCUGGGAUUACAGGCGUGAGCCACCGCGCCCGGCCAUGUUCAAGUUCUUUUGGUUUCUAUAUAUUCGUCACUAAAUCUGUGUAAUCUGACAUCUUUCAAACUUCUGAACAUAAGGCCAUUAAUAUUUGAAUUACAAUGAAAGGUUUUUUUUUCCAUCUGCAAGUGGAUUAUAUAAUCAGCACUCCAUUGCCAUCUGAGUGACCCUGAAAAAUAGGAAUAUUUUCAAAGGAAAAUUGCACUUUUCUUCCAAAACUACACACAGUAUUUUGAUGCCAAUAUUUCUUCAGAUGAGUUUCUGCAUGUUACUAGCCUACUGCUGCAUAGUGGGGGUAAAUGACAGGCAUUCUCGGAUGUCUAUAAAACUCCCCUUCUAGGCCAGGCGUGGUGGCUCAUGCCUGUAAUACCAGCACUUUGGGAGACCAAGGCAGGCAGAUCAUGAGGUCAGGAGUUUGAGACCAGCCUGAGGUUUUACCAUGGUAAAACCUCAUCUUUACUAAAAAUAUACAAAAAUUAGCUGAGAGUGGUGGCGUGCACCUGUAAUCCCAUCUACUCAGGAGGUUGAGGGAGGCGGAGGUUGCAGUGAGCCGAUAUUGCGCCGCUGCAUUCCAGCCUGGGCGACAGAGUGAGACUACAUCUCAAAAACAGCAACAACAACAAACAACAAACUCAGCGUCUCACCCCAGCAUCGGCACACAUACAGGCACACAUGUGCACACACAGGCACACACACCCAGCAUCUUUUAUGUCAACAGUCAUGACUGCAUUCAUUGGCCAGGAGAGAGAUAAAAUCAGGACCCUCUCUGGACUCAAGGCUGAGUCUGCUUUAGUCUAAAGUGAUCAUCAGAAUGCCAUUCCCCUUGCCAAUUAUCAAGAAUGGGCGUGUUACAAAAUUCUGGUCAAUGAGGGUUGUACUGGGAGAUUUUCUUCAUUCUUAAACAAGGGGCACAAGGAAGGAAUGUUUUUCUGCUUUCAGAUAUAAUCUUCUCACAUUGGAAUUAUGGCCAGUAUACUGGAAACAUGAGUGGAGCCAGCUGAUGCUCUGAAGAGAAUAGCAGAAUGAAAAGAUAAAAAGAUGCUGGGCGAGGUGCCUCACGCUUCACAGGAUUGUGCUUUUUGGAGACAGUCAGAAACAAACUUAAUUUUGUUUGUAUAAAAUGUAUGCAAAAUGUCAACUUCUUUUGCCUUGUGGAACACUCUGGCAGUCUGAUGAAUCCUACAGACAGACCCCUUCUGAGGAUUAUGUGUUUAAAUGCAUAAAAUAAAUGGAUGAUUAAAAAAAAAUUUUUUUUUUUUGAGACGGAGUCUUGCUCUGUAGAGCAGGCUGGAGUGCAAUGGCAUGAUCUUGGCUCACUGCAAACUCUGCCUCCUGGGUUCAAGUGAUUUUCCUGCCUCAGCCUCCUGAGUAGCUGGGACUACAGCCAUAGGUACCACUUUGACUACAACCACAAUGGAAGAAAAUGCUGGCUGGAUGCAGUGGCUCAUGACUGCAAUCAUGAGGUCAAGAGAUCGAGACCAUCCUGGCUAAAAUGACCAUCUUCCGCCAAGCCUUCAACACCUACAAGAUGGACACGGACCGCAAGCAAGGGACACCGCAGUACCUGUGUGCAGUGCAGCCCAGCAGAAGGCUCUCUGAGAUCUGGCUCUCCCACAGACUGGCCACUGCCACCUAUAUCCAGGGCAAAGGCAAGGUGCUUGUUAUGUAUACAAUUUUUUCUUUCGGUGCUGCAAAGAAGAAUUCGUAAUGGGACAAAGGAUUUCCCAGCACAGCGAUUCUUUUUACUUCCUGCAGAAAGGGCACUCCCACUAGCAAUCUUGCCCCGAGAGUACAACGAACUAACAAGAGCAGACAUAUUUAUUUCUCGCGCAUUUGGGGUUGUCCUUACUGUUGUGUCUGAUCUCUGCGGGCUGGAGCCAGACCUCACAAUGGAAACUAAAAUCUGAUUGGCUAAUAACUUGAAACUUUUCUAAACAGGUCAAAGCCAUGGAGAGCAAAAAAAAAUAAAAAGGAAGUCCAAAUAAGAAAGCGGCAUAGGCUGUGAGCUGGGACAUGCCUAUGAGCACAUCUUGCACAGAUAUGUUGAUUAAAGUGCAAAGACAUAGAAUGUACUACGUGCCUGUAAGCAUGUCUAACAGCUACGUAGUAUAGGGCUUUUAGCAAAAAGGCAAGAAGGCGUUUGAAGAAAAUGUUUAAAACAAACUAUUAUUUCUAACACAUGAAUUUUUCUUAACCAAGAAAGGAAACAUUGAAGAGGAACUUUUCUACUUCCCACAACAGUGAUUGUAGAGAGGGAAGUAACCCAAGUCCUCAGCUUCAACACAGGUGAGCCACUAUGCAGGUCAGCGUCCAAAUAGCUAUCUAGAAUGCACACCUGGUGGUCUAGAAGAGCUCCUGAAUAGUUGACUGGGAGUGGGUUGGGGAAAUGACAGGAGCAGACACACGUGUUAGACAAGCAGGUUCAAGGGACUGUCUGUCUUCCUGGGUAGAUUAUAAAUUCUUCUAGGGCAGAGUUUUCAGAGGCAGUAAGACGUAAUGGUGUCUGCCACUUGCUGCUCCUUAAUUCUAAACCUCUCUCUGCCUGUGUUUCCUCAUCUGUAUGAUGGGGAUAUUAAUAGCAUAUUCAUGGCCGGGCACAGUGGCCCAUGACUGUAAUCCCAGCACUUUGGGAGGCUGAGGUGGGCUGGUGGGCUGAUCACAGGGUUAAGGGAUUGAGACCAGGCCGGGAGCGGUGGCUCAAGCCUGUAAUCCCAGCACUUUGGGAGGCCGAAAUGGGUGGAUCACGAGGUCAAGAGAUCGAGACCAUCCUAGUCAACAUGGUGAAACCCCGUCUCUACUAAAAAUACAAAAAAUUAGCUGGGCAUGGUGGCGUGUGCCUGUAAUCCCAGCUACUCGGGAGGCUGAGGUAGGAGAAUUGCCUGAACCCAGGAGGCGGAGGUUGCGGUGAGCCAAGAUCACGCCAUUGCACUCCAGCCUGGGUAACAAGAGCGAAACUCCAUCUCAAAAAAAAGAGAGAUUGAGACCAUCCUGGUCAACAUGGUGAAACCUUGUCUCUACUAAAAAUACAAAAAUUAGCUGGGCAUCAUGGUGCAUACCUAUAGUCCCAGCUACUUGGGAGGCUGAGGCAGAAGAAUUGGUUGAACCCGGGAGGGGAGGUUGCAGUGAGCCGAGAUCACACCACUGCACUGCAGCCUAGGGGACAGAGUGAGGCUCCAUCGCAAAAAAAAAAAAAAAAAAAAAAAAUAUAUAUAUAUAUAUAUAUUCCUCAUAGGAUCAUUGUGAGAUUCAAUAAGUUAAUACACCGAAAGUGCUUAUUACUGAAUGAGCACAUAGUAAGAGCUGAAUAAUACUGGCUAUUAUUCUUCUCUUUAACUCUGUAGACGUUUUUCUAUACGGCCAGAACAUGAGCGAAAUAAUUUCCUAAUCAUCUUAUCGAGUUAUUUAUUUUUCUACUUCCAGACAGGCUAAUACUUACUUUUACAUUUUUAUUUAUUCUUUACUUUUUUGCAGAGCCUGGGGUCUUACUAUGUUGCCCAGGCUGGUCUUGAACUCCUGGGCUCAGAUGAUCCACCUCUCAAGGUGCUGCCAUUACAGGUGUGAGCCACUGCAUUCCGCAUGGUUACUUUUUUUAAUUGACAAAUAAAAGUUGUGUCUAUAUUAUAUACAACAUGUUUUGAUAUGUGUAUACAUUGUGGAAGGGUGAAAUCAAGCUAAUUAACAUAUGCAUUACUUCACAUACUAUUCAUUUAUUUGUUUAUUUGAGACAGAGUUUCGCUCUUGUUGCCCAGCUGGAGUACAGCGGCACGAUCCGGGCUCACUGCAACCUCCACCUCCUAGGUUCAAGUGAUUCUCCUGCCUCAGCCUCCCAAGUAGCUCGGACUACAGGCUCCCACCACCACGCCCAGCUAAUUUUUUAUUUUAAGUAGAGAUGGGGUUUCAGUAUGUUGGCCAGGAUGGUCUCAAACUCCAGACCUCGUGAUCCACCCAUCUUACCUUCCUAAGUGCUGGGAUUACAGGCGUGAGCCACCGCACUUGGCCUAACAUACUUAUUAUUUUGUAGCAAGAAUACUUUAAAUGUAUUCUCUGCAGUUUUCAAGAAUAGUAUACAUUGUUAUUAAUUAUAGUCACCACGCUGUAUAAUAGAUCUCUUGGAACUUCUUGUAUCUAACUCAAAUUUUUGUAUCAUUUUCAAUUGAUGCAGAAAACUGCAGAAAGUUUAUCAUUAACUGUCGUUAGCACCGAAGCUGAUUCAGCCAGGUGCUGUGGAGUGGCUAUGACAAUGACUGUUGAGGCAGACAUCCAAAGCCAGGUUCAAAGCCAGGUUUCAUCACCAAUAAUCUGUGUUAAAUUAGCAAAGUUACCUAACCUUUCCCUACUUUCAAUUCCUCAUUGGUAAAAUAGGGAAAAUAAUAGCAUUGACCUGGCCAGGUGCAGUGGCUCACGCCUGUAAUUCCAGCACUUUGGGAGGCUGAGGCAGUUAGGUUACCAGGCCAAGAGUUUGAGACCAGCCUGAGCAACAUGGUGAAACCCCACCUCUACAAAAAAUACAAAAAAAAAAAAGGAAGAAAGAAAGAAAAAAAAGCCAGGCAUGGUGGUGCACGCCUGUAAUCCCAGCUACUCAGGAGGCUGAGGCAGGAGAAUUGCUUGAACCCAGAAGUGCGGAGGUUGCAAUGAGCCGAGAUCAUGCCACUGAUCCAGCCUGGUCGACAGAGCGAGACUCAGUCUCAAAUAAUAAUAAUAAUAGCCUUGACCUCACAGAGUUUCUGUGAUAAUCAACUAAUUAAAUCAUCUGCAUGGUUUAGCACAGUGCGUGCAGGUAACUCUAAGUGUUCUUGGUUAUUUUACGUUUACUAUGUAGCAGUCUCUGUUCUAAGCAUUUUGCAAGCAUUAUCUCUUGUAAUCUUUACCACACACUCAAGAGGUGGCCAUUAGGAAGAGGCAGUCAUUAACAUUACCCCCACUUUCCCGACGGGGAAAUGGAGAUAUGAAGAAGUUACUCAGCUAAAGGCAGGCCUGGACUUGCACACAGGUGUUAAGUAUCCACUUAUACUGUCUCCGGCUGGAUUGUAGAGCUAUUUUUUAGCAAUUAUUAGAGAUGUAGAGAGCAUCAGGGAGUAAGAAAAGGGCAAAAAUACAAAGAUUAGGAGAAAAAAGUAAGGACAUAAAUUUAUCCUCAGGUUUGCGGCUGAAGAAAAGGAUGUUGGAGGUUUAAGAUUCUUACCCAAGCAUCCACGGUAAGUAGGUAUGCACCUCACUUUAAACACACUUCUCUGCCAGGCGCGGCUGCUCACACCUGUAAUACCAGCACUUUGGGAGGCCACGGUGGGUGGAUCAGGUCAGGAGAGCGAGACCAUUCUGGCCGACAUAGUAAAAUCCCGCCUCUACUAAAAUACAAAAAAGCUAGCCGGGUGUGGGGGCACGCGCGGGUAGUCCCAGGUACGUGGCAGGCUGAGGCAGGAGAACUGCUUGAACCUGGGAGGCAGAGGUUGCAAUGAGCCGAGAUGAGCCUGGAAACAACGCGAGACUUCGUCUCAUAAACAAAAAAGAAAAACAAAGGAGAUGUGGGCGCCGGCUUGCAGUGCGGUGCGGGUUGGCCAUGGCGGAGCUGCAGCAGCUGCGGGUGCAGGAGGCUGUGGACUCCAUGGUGAAGAGUCUGGAGAAAGAGAACAUCCGGAAGAUGCAGGGUCUCAUGUUCCGGUGCAGCGCCAGCUGUUGUGAGGACAGCCAGGCCUCCAUGAAGCAGGUGCAUCAGUGCAUCGAGCACUGCCAUGCGCCUCUGCUCAAGCCCAGGCUUUAGUCACCAAUGAGUUGGAGAAGUUCCAGGACAGCCUGGGUCGGUGCACCAUGCAUUGCAAUGACAAAGCCAAAGAUUCAACCGAUACUAGGAGUAAGGAGCCUCAGGUGAAGCGGCAGCUGGACGGUUGUGUGACCAAGUGUGUGGAUGACCACAUGCACCUUAUCCCAACUAUGACCAAGAAGAUGAAGGAGGCUCUCUUAUCCAUGGGGAAAUGAAAGUUUGCCAAUGCCUACUGGGGCUGAGGGCAAGGAUGUUUUUUAUAAGGAAUUGGGAAUUUUAGUCUUUUAAGCAAAGUUUAUGAAUGAAGAAAUUAAGGACGGCCGCAAGUGUAAGGCAUAUGUCACUUGCCUCUGGACACUGCUUCUUUUAUGUUUCAGUCCUAAAAAAUGAAAUGGAAAAAAAAGUGGUGCUAAAUUGGGUCAGAGACAUUACAGGAGAAUUUUGGAGCUUGUAUUUCCUGUAGCCAGUGCCUGUCUUGGCAGUAAGGAUCUCCCCUGUAACAAGCCAGAGCCCUCCAAGGUACCAGACUAUUCUUACUACACAGGUACCAACGGCCUGGCAGGUUAGAGUUGGUGGAGUUUGAGGAGAGAUAUUUUCUCUUUGUUGCUAAUAUCCUGUUUACCGGAAAUGUCACCACACCAUUUUCCAUAAGCUGUGAAACAAAAUCCAUGAGGUCACUAACUUAGAAGGGAAAAAGUUUUCUGAGUUUUUGUGCUCUUGGUUUUGUGUAAUUUAUACAAGGGCAUUCAAGUUGAUUUUAAGAUGCGGAAUUGGGAGGGAGACGAGUUUGGAUAAGAACUUUGAAACGUUCCUUGUGGACCCCCAUUUCUGGUCAUCAAGAUGUGGAUGUACAUUUCUUAAAAUUAUUACAUGCUACAUCUUUCAGCCUGGAGACCCUGCGAAAACACGAGAGGUGAUGACACAUUAAUUAUGAGAAGCAUAAUUACUGUCUGACGGGCCCUGAGACUGUGUAGCAAAAUGACAAUGACAGGACAAUUUUUUUUUUUUGAGACUGAGUUUUGCUCUUGUUGCCCAGGCUGGAGUGCGAUGGCAUGAUCUUGGCUCACCGCAAACUGCCUCCCAGAUUCAAGCAAAUCUCCUGCCUCAGCCUCCCGAGUAGCUAGGAUUACAGGCGUGCACCAUCAUGCCUGGCUAAUUUUGUAUUUUUAGUAGAGAUGGGGUUUCUCCAUGUUGGUCAAGCUGAUCUCAAACUCCUAACGUCAGGUGAUCCACCUGCAUUGGCCUCCCAAAGUGCUGGGAUUACAGGCGUGAGCCACUGCCCCCAGCAUGACAGGACAAUCUUGCAGUAACACUUUCCCCUUGAAGAGAAAGGGAUUUUGAUUGUGAUAUAUACUAGUAUCUAGGAAUCGUAGAGGAAUGAAAGAGGACCAGUUGGCUACUUGAUUAUAACAGAGUUAUAAAGUACUGGAUUUGGAAAAGGCUGGUUUUUACAGAACAGAUGGAACAAAAGCCUAAACCUAGCAUUGCCUACUUAGCCCCCUGAGCUAACAGGGCCCAAUUGAGACAAACCGCUGGCAACAGGAAAUUCGAGGGAGAAAAAGUAACCAACUUGAGCUAGGACGAGCUGACUCCCUUAGAGCCAAAGAGAGGCAGCCCCCAUUACCAUAUACCGCUUCUGCCUCGGGCUUUUGCAGCUUGCAGUGUUCCUGCCCAGGCCUGACACCUUGUUGUUUUGAUAGCAACCUCACUGUAUUGUCACCAGCUUAUUACUUGAAAUGAUAAUAUAGCCUGUCCACUUGCUGUUUCCAGGCUGUGAUAUAUUUUCCUAGUGGUUUGAUUUUUUUUUUUUUUUUGAGACUGAGUUUCACUCGUUACCCAGGCUGGAGUGCAAUGGCGUGAUCUCGGCUCACGGCAACCUCCGCCUCCUGGGUUCAGGCAAUUCUCCUGCCUCAGCCUCCCGAGCUGGGAUUACAGGCACGCACCACCAUGCCCAGCUAAUUUUUUUUUUUUUUAUUUUUAGUAGAGACAGGGUUUCACCAUGUUGACCAGGAUGGUCUUGAUCUCUUGACCUCGCGAUCCACCCACCUCGGCCUCCCAAGUGCUGGGAUUACAGGCAUGAGCCACCGUGCCUGGCAGGUUUGAUUUUUAAAAUAAAUAAGGUUUAAUUUUCUCCCCUGCCCAAAGAAAAGAACAAAAGACACUUCCCUUAGCAGAGCAGUAGACCUACUACCUCUCUGACCUUUAUUGUAAGAAUUCAAUCAAGCUUCCAAGUUCCUAGCCCAUGAGGAAAUGAGAGGGCAGCAGAAUGACUUUUUGCAUACAAUUCAAUUUCUGCCUGGUCAACAAAACAUAAUUUGUUGUCUAGAGGAGCUAAAUCAGGCUGUUUAAAUCCCUAGUCAGUAAAAAGUAUUCUCUUGAUUUAUGAAAAAAAAUCAGUAAAUGUAUGUUGAUUUAGAUUUGUGCAGCUACAAACAAUACAUAUGCCAUGAGUCUUUAUCUUCCUUUCAAAUUUCAUGUUAGCGUGACUUGUAGAAAUGAGUGCCCGAUGACACAUUUGAAAUAAUAGCAAUGGUAUUAACAAUAAUAAAAGUACCAUCAUAAUUACUGUCACUUAUUAAGUGCCUGCCCUGAGCUAGGCAUUGUCCUAUAAACUUUCUGUUCAUUAUAAUGUUUAAUUUUCUCAACAAUCUUAUGAGAGCAGACUUUUGAUUAAAGAUAGUACUCUGGCCUGGCGCAGUGACUCAUGCCUGUAAUCCCAGCACUUAGGUAGGUUGAGGCGGAUGGAGCACAAGGUCAAGAGUUUGAGACCAGCCUGGCCAAUAUGGUGAAAUCCCAUCUCUACUAAAAAGACAAAAAUUAGCCAGGUGUGAAGGCACAUGCCUUUAGCCCCAGCUACUCAGGAGGCUGAGGCAGGAGAACCACUUGAACCUGGGAGGCAGAGAUUGCAGUGAACUGAGAUCACAAUAUUGCACUCCAGCCUGGAUGGCAGAGUGAGACUGUGUCUCAAAUAAAAAAAAAAAAAAAAAGAUAGAACUCUGAACACAGAGAUUUCUUGCCACUUUCUCCUGAAGGCCCAUUAAAAUGGCAAACAGCAAUACUUUCCAUUUUGUUUCAGUAAAUAAAUGCAUAAGGAUUAAGAGAGCCGUAGAGACAAUUGUAGCCAGAACAUUUUGGAAUCUGAAAAUCAAAAGGAGUCUGUGUGGUAUGACUUUUUGGCCUUUCAAGUAGCAGAAAGCCCAAUUUUACAGCGAGUUAAACACAUGGUGUUUAUUUUUCUCAUGUAAGAAAGCUCUUUGCAGCUUUCUUAUCAUUGCUGGUGUAUGACUCUCAUCUCAAGGGCCAGUAAAGCAGCUUGAGUUUUCUACAUCAUGUCCAUUUUCCAGCUGGCGGUAAAGAGGAAAGGUAGGGUGAGACAGGUAUGCACCUCAAUUUAAUACUUCUCACCGGGCACAGUGGCUCAUGCCGGUAAUUCCAGCACUUUGGGAGGCCCAGGUGGGCAGAUUACCUGAGGUCAGGAGUUCGAGACAAGCCUGACCAACAUGGAGAAACCCUGUCUUUACUAAAAAUACAAAAUUAGCUGGGCAUGGUGGCACAUGUCUGUAAUCCCAGCUAUUCGGGAGGGUGAGGCAGGAAGAAUCACUUGAACCUGGGAGGUGGAGGUUGCAGUGAGCCAAGAUUGCACCACUGCCCUCCAGCCUGGGCAACAGGAGCGAAACUGUUUCAAAAAAAAUAAGACACUUCUCUUAGCCGGGCAUGGUGGCUCACGUCUGUAGUCCUAAGGCAAGAGGUGGCACUCAACUCUGGAGGUAAGUCUCAGACAUUGGACCAAACUGAGGACUAGCUAAAUCAGGGAGGGAGUGGAAGCAGCUUUCCAUAAGACACACCCAUCCAUGUGUCCUGUCAGUUUACCAUUGCCAUGGCAACACCUAUGAGUUUCCCUUUCCGUGGCAGCAACCCAAUGACCUAGAAGUUACUACCCUUUCCCUAGAAAUGUCUGCAUAAACUAUUUCUUCAUCUGCCUGCAAUUAAAACUAGGUAAAAACGUGAAUGCAGAUCUGCCCUGAGUUGCUGCUUUCUGCCUAUGGCAUAGCCCUGCUCUGCAGGGGCAGUCACAGAGCUGUCACAUUGCCGAAGCCAGAACAUUGCUGCUUCAGUGAAACGGUUUCCUUCUACCCUACCACCAGCUUGCUCUUAAAUUAUUUCCUGGGUGAAGCCAAGAACCCAGUUUGGGGCUCACCUAUCCUGUAUCAGUCCCAGCUACUUGAGAGACUGAGGCAGAAAGAUCACUUGAAGCCAGGAGUUCGAGGCUGUAGUGAGCUGACUACACCACUGCACUCCAGCCUGGCUGACAAAGGGAGACCCUGUCUCAGGAAAAGUAGACAGUUCUCUUCUGGGUUUUUAUAAUCAGAUACCUUUUAUUCAAGAUAUUAAUCUCUAUGAGGGGUAGAUGUUAUCCAGGUUUAGUAUAAAUAGAUAGCACUCUGAACACAUACACUUAUAGCGACUUUCCCCUGAAAGCCCACUAAAAUGGCAAAAAGUGAUACUUUUCAUUUUGUUUUGGUAAAUAAAUGCCAUUUUUAUGACUAAUUUAGAGUCUAAUUAAUUUGCCUUUAUUAAACAAAUGCUGUAUUAGAAAAGUUCUUAGCACACCUAGCACUGUGCCAGCACUUACUAGGAUGCUAGCUCCAGGAUUAGCUGUGGGAAUAACUAUAACCAUGUAAUUUCAUCUCGUUUAUUCUUGAUGUGCCCAUCAGCAUAAUGGAGCCCAGAGAGCCUCUCUAAAUGGUGGCUGGGAUAGGCAAUGACAUGACGCAGAUAAGCCCAGGCAGCAAGUGUUCUCCCCAAAUGUUAAUCUCUUUUCCUCUCUUCAUCCCUUUGGGAGCCUCUAAGAGCAUCUAUGGCACACUAGCAAAGGGCAGUAAGGAUCCUUUGUUUGGAAACAGAUUUUUACAACUUACAAGUUCACAAGCAUAGUCUCUUUCGGAGCCUGUGGUGUACUGUCAUGAAGAGUCAAAGGAAGUAGAUUCUGCGGCAGUACCGCCACUUUGGUGAUUCAGAUGCAAGGUUUACCUUUUAGCCUCAACUGUAAAGUAGGGAUAAUAAUUUUAGUUACCUCAUAGGGUGACUGGUAGAUUGAUAUAAUUUCUAGCAAGUGCUUAGAGCAUAGUAAGUGUUCAAUAAAUGUUAGCUUUUAUCAUUUACUGGGACUAUUAGCCCAUUAGAUGACAAAAUGAAGAUUCAGAGACCCCACAAUGACUAUACUAAUAAUUAAUAAUGGCAAUAUUCAUCGAUUGAAGCCUUAUGAUGUGUCCAGAAAGCAGCCCUUGUUGAGAAAUGGGAGGCGAACAGUGGCUGCCAAUUCUUUGAUGUUUAAUAAACUUUCAUUAAUGUCUACAGUGAACAAAGGUCUGUGCUGACCUUCAUGCUUGAUUCUAAGGAUUCCAGGAUGACUGUAGUUGGGCACAGUCCUUCAUCUGAUGGCUUUUGCAAUAAGGGAAGAAAAAGAGGCGUGUCUUGACAAUUGCACUACUCUGUGCUGAAUGCUAUGCUAGUGGAAAGCAUGUGAUCUACCUAUGUAAACACAAACAAAAAAGAUGUGUUAGUUAUUGCAAUUAGUAAUUCCUGUGUGACACCUGACCCCCAAACUUAGAAUAGCAAUGAAUGUUGAUUGUCUCACACAGUUUCUGAAGGGUCGGAAUUCAGCGUGGCUCAGUAGGAUGGUCUGGCUCAGUCUCUAAUGAAGUUAUCAGUCAUGACUGCAGGCACCUGAAGGUCUGAUCAGGGCUGGAGGAUCUAAGACAGCUCUCUCCUCGCUAGUAAGGUGAUGCAGCCACUGGCAGGAGACCUCAGUUCCUCGUCCUGUGGACCUCUUGCUCGAGUGUCCUCCUGACAUGGUAGCUGGUUUUCCUCACAGCACAUGACCCAAAAGAGAACAAGGCAGAAGCCACAUGUCUUUUGUAAGGUAGGCAUGCAAGUCACAUGCUGUCAUUACACAGGUUGGCUGUAUUUUUGGUGGGAGCGGCUAUAUAAGAGGGAAAAUAUCAGGUGGCAGGAAUCACUGGGGCCACCUUGGAGGCUGGCUACCACAGAGGUCAACUGACUCUAUCUGGUGGUUCAAGAAAGACUUUCUAGAAGAGGUCAUGCCUGAAAGAGCUAAGUUAGGAAAAAUUUAUAACCUGGGCUCCAUGGACAGAACUCAGGGGUCUGUGAAGUUGAGUCAGGGAGGUAGGAUUGCAUCUUCAUUUUCCCACACCUAUACUGAAAUUUAACAUUCUUUCAAUUAUGAGUAUAAGAAACCCAUGCCAGUGUCCUUAGUAAUACCUGUGACUUUGUCACCAGCAGAAACUACCAAUGUUUUGUUUGCAUGUGUGGUCAGCACGGUAAGACCCUGUGUUUACAAACAAAAAUUUAAAACUACUGUUAUUGUAGAUGUCUUGAAAUAUUGCUUGCAUUAAUCAAAAUCAUGAGACUGAGUGCAGUGGCUCAUGCCUGUAAUCCCAGCACUUUGGGAGGCCAAGGGAGAAGGAUCAUUUGAGACCAAGAGUUUGAGACCAACCUGGGCAACAUAGUAAGACUCUCAUUUCUAUGAAAAAUAAAAAUUAGCCAGGCAUGGUGGUGCAUGCCUGUAGUCCCAGCUGCUCGGGAGGCUGAGGCAGGAGUAUCACUUGAACCCAAAAGUUUGAGGCUGCACUGAGCUGUGAUUGUACCACUGCACUCCAACCUAGGUGACACAGAAAGACCCUAUAACUAAAAGGAAAAAAAUUAUAGUGAUUGCUAGACUCAUUGUUCUCACUCAUAAGUGGGAGCUGAACAAUGAGAACACAUGGACACAGGGAGGGAAACAACACACCGGGGCCUGUCAGUGGGUGGGGGGAAAGGGAAGGAGAGCAUUAGGACAAAUACCUGAUGCAUGCAGAGCUUAAAACCCAGAUGACAGCUUGAUAGGUGCAGCAAACCACCAUGGCACAUGUAUACCUGAGCAACAAACCUGCACAUUCUGCACAUGUAUCCCAGGACUUAAAAUAAGAAAAAAAUUAUAGUGAUUGUUAGACCUCGCACCAGAUCUUGAUAUAUAAUGCAUAAUUAAUUAAU